AGAAUCAACGCUGGCGGCGUGCCUAACACAUGCAAGUCGAACGAGAAAGGGUAGCAAUACCUGAGUAAAGUGGCGCACGGGUGAGUAACACGUGACUAACCUACCUUUUAGUGGGGGAUAACCUAGGGAAACCUGGGCUAAUACCGCAUAAUACUUACGAGUCAAAGCAGCAAUGCGCUGAAAGAGGGGGUCGCGGUCGAUUAGUUAGUUGGCAGGGUAAUGGCCUACCAAGACUGUGAUCGAUAUCCGGCCUGAGAGGGCGCACGGACACACUGGAACUGAAACACGGUCCAGACUCCUACGGGAGGCAGCAGUGGGAAUUUUGCGCAAUGGGGGAAACCCUGACGCAGCAACGCCGCGUGGAGGAUGAAGUCCCUUGGGACGUAAACUCCUUUCGAUCGGGACGAUAAUGACGGUACCGGAAGAAGAAGCCCCGGCUAACUUCGCGCCAGCAGCCGC
RNAcentral lists this ribosomal RNA (459 nucleotides) under uncultured bacterium. Its description in RNAcentral is "SSU rRNA". It matches the Rfam family "Bacterial small subunit ribosomal RNA", at positions 26 to 518 of the family's 1533-position model. The record is from RNAcentral.